CCUACGGGAGGCAGCAGUGAGGAAUAUUGGUCAAUGGGCGAGAGCCUGAACCAGCCAAGUCGCGUGAGGGAGUACUGCCCCAUGGGUUGUAAACCUCUUUUGUCGGGGAGCAAAAGCCGGACGUGUCCGGCUGUGAGAGUACCCGAAGAAAAAGCAUCGGCUAACUCCGUGCCAGCAGCCGCGGUAAUACGGAGGAUGCGAGCGUUAUCCGGAUUUAUUGGGUUUAAAGGGUGCGCAGGCGGAUUUUUAAGUCAGCGGUAAAAUCGUGGGGCUCAACCCCAUCCAGCCGUUGAAACUGGGGAUCUAGAGUGUGCGAGAGGUAUGCGGAAUGCGUGGUGUAGCGGUGAAAUGCAUAGAUAUCACGCAGAACCCCGAUUGCGAAGGCAGCAUACCGGUGCACAACUGACGCUCAGGCACGAAAGCGUGGGUAUCGAACAGGAUUAGAUACCCUGGUAGUC
Molecule: ribosomal RNA, 458 nt
Filed under: uncultured bacterium
Lineage: Bacteria
Description: partial 16S ribosomal RNA
Rfam family: Bacterial small subunit ribosomal RNA
Source: RNAcentral